This 449-nucleotide ribosomal RNA is filed under the name uncultured bacterium. RNAcentral describes it as "bacterial SSU rRNA". It matches the Rfam family "Bacterial small subunit ribosomal RNA", at positions 329 to 793 of the family's 1533-position model. The record is from RNAcentral.
UCCCAGACUCCUACGGGAGGCAGCAGCAGGGAAUCUUUCACAAUGGGCGAAAGCCUGAUGGAGCAACGCCGCGUGAAGGAAGAAGGCUUUCGGGUUGUAAACUUCUUUUAAGAGGGAAGAGUAGAAGACGGUACCUCUUGAAUAAGCCACGGCUAACUACGUGCCAGCAGCCGCGGUAAUACGUAGGUGGCAAGCGUUGUCCGGAUUUACUGGGUGUAAAGGGCGUGUAGCCGGGCCGGCAAGUCAGAUGUGAAAUCCCAAGGCUCAACCUUGGAACGGCAUUUGAGACUGUUGGUCUUGAGUAUCGGAGAGGCAGGCGGAAUUCCUGGUGUAGCGGUGAAAUGCGUAGAUAUUAGGAGGAACACCAGUGGCGAAGGCGGCCUGCUGGACGUCAACUGACGGUGAGGCGCGAAAGCGUGGGGAGCAAACAGGAUUAGAUACCCCCGUAA